GUGUCAGCCGCCGCGGUAAUACGUAGGAGGCAAGCGUUAUCCGGAUUUAUUGGGCGUAAAGAGCGCGUAGGCGGCUUAAUAAGUCGGAUGUGAAAUCUCCCGGCUUAACCGGGAGGGGUCAUUCGAUACUGUUAGGCUAGAGGACAGCAGAAGGAGAUGGAAUUCCCGGUGUAGUGGUGAAAUGCGUAGAUAUCGGGAGGAACACCAGUGGCGAAGGCGGUCUUCUAGGCUGUUACUGACGCUGAGGUGCGAAAGCGUGGGGAGCGAACAGGAUUAGAUACCCUGGUAGUCCACGCUAUAAACUGUGGACACUAGGUAUGGGGAGUAUCGACCCUCUCUGUGCCGAAGCUAACGCUUUAAGUGUCCCGCCUGGGGACUACGGCCGCAAGGCUAAAACUCAAAUGAAUUGACGGGG
Molecule: ribosomal RNA, 415 nt
Filed under: uncultured prokaryote
Description: bacterial SSU rRNA
Rfam family: Bacterial small subunit ribosomal RNA
Source: RNAcentral